Non-coding RNA from Podarcis muralis (Common wall lizard), 344 nucleotides. The record is from RefSeq and is a predicted model, not a curated record. Lineage: Eukaryota; Metazoa; Chordata; Lepidosauria; Squamata; Lacertidae.
GCGGAGACGCGAAACCGGUUCACCAGAUUACAAACCACCGCUCUUAACCACUACACCACACUGGCUCUCUCAAGGGUUCAUUUCUUCCUUCUAAUGAACAGGCUCCUAUAGGUGGAAAUCAAAUUUAAAUGCAUCCCAUGUAUGUGAUGAUCUGGUGUUUUAAUGUAAAGUUGUACUUUCAUGUAGUAAAGUAAUCAAGGUAGCUUAUCACAAUAGUUAGUAAUGUAUAAAUGGCUUUGUACAUCGUACCUCAGGUUACGAACAGCCUGGUUGAUGAACAUUUUGGAUUAUGACCAUUUCAAACCCGGAAAUGAGUUGGUUAAACUAGUAUUAUAGGAAUGGCA